UGGGGAAUAUUGCGCAAUGGGGGAAACCCUGACGCAGCCAUGCCGCGUGAGUGAAGAAGGUCUUCGGAUUGUAAAGCUCUUUCAACGGGGAAGAUGAUGACGGUACCCGUAGAAGAAGCCCCGGCUAACUUCGUGCCAGCAGCCGCGGUAAUACGAAGGGGGCUAGCGUUGUUCGGAAUUACUGGGCGUAAAGGGCGUGUAGGCGGUCCGAUCAGUCAGAGGUGAAAGCCCCGGGCUCAACCUGGGAAUUGCCUUUGAUACUGUCGGACUCGAGUUCGGGAGAGGGUAGUGGAAUUCCCAGUGUAGAGGUGAAAUUCGUAGAUAUUGGGAAGAACACCGGUGGCGAAGGCGGCUACCUGGACCGAUACUGACGCUGAGGCGCGAAAGCGUGGGGAGCAAACAGGAUUAGAUACCCCCGUAGUCC
This 424-nucleotide ribosomal RNA is filed under the name uncultured prokaryote. RNAcentral's name for it is "bacterial SSU rRNA". It matches the Rfam family "Bacterial small subunit ribosomal RNA", at positions 355 to 796 of the family's 1533-position model. The record is from RNAcentral.